Molecule: long non-coding RNA, 14813 nt
Filed under: Gallus gallus (chicken)
Lineage: Eukaryota; Metazoa; Chordata; Aves; Galliformes; Phasianidae
Source: RNAcentral
CGCAGCCCCGUGCUGCCCCUCACAGCCCGUCGGAGGUGCGCGCCGCCCCUCGCGGCUCCGUGCCGCCCUCAAAGCCAUUCACAAUCUCUCGCAGCCCCGACGGAACGACCCCCGGGGCCCCCGGUGAAGCACAAGGCGGCUUUGUGCUCCCGGACGGGGCGUUGUGCAGCGGCCGUUCCCCUGCAGGUGAUGGGGAGCACCGGGAGGGCUGAGGUAGCGCGCGGCUGAGUGGCACGUGGCGAGUCGGGCCCGGCGGGAGCCGCUCCGUCCUUCUUGUAACGUAUUUUCCUUCAUGGAGAACUUACUCAUGAGGCUGAAAUUUCUGAUAUGGGAGGAGAAGAGGAGAGAGGCUGGUUUGGAGCAGAGGACCAGAGGGAUAUCAUGUCCGUGCUGGCUUUUCUCUGCAUCUGUCUGUGUUGCACUGUUGCUGUCAGUAAGCACAAGCUGGAAAUCACCUACAGAUUGUUUUAAUUUGCACCAAGGACAAAAACAUCCAUCCUCUAUUGAGCGGAGUGCUCCUAGUUUCCAGUUCUACAUUACUUCGUCAGCAGGAUCACAGCUGGGCCUAAAAGGCACUCUGCUCUGCCCUUGGCCGUGCUGCUGAUGUGUUGCAGGACAUAGAGCUGUUUGUGUUGGAGAGCCUGAGCAGCCCCAGUGAGUGUACCAAAGGUCACAGGUGGAGGGAAGUGGAAUUCUGGGCAGUUUUGAGGUGUUGAGGAGAACCUUGCAGUGCUCAACAAUUCCUGAGCAACCUGCUGUAAAUCUUCUUGUAGCCAGUUCAGCCUUUGGAAGGAGUCAGAAGAGAUUUGUGGAGCUUGGCAGCGGUGUUGUUCCUGAGGAAGACUGGAGGAAGAAAACUCAAAACCACCCUUAUGAGCAGCUCUUUAAAACGAAUGGCUAACUGAAGGAAGAAGCCUUGUGCACUUGCAGUGCCAUGAUGUUCUGCCAUCCAAAGGGGAAUUAAUUGCUGAGUGGCAUGGAAAACACACAGCACAGACAGCAGGCAUGGUCCAGACCUCAAGGGACUAGUCAUGGUCUUAAAGGCUAAGAAAAUAAUCUGAGGUGCAUUGGAGAGAAAGUGUCUUAGUAAUGCUCCAUACAUAAUGCUGGUGUUCCCAGAGUUAGUGGCGUAUCUCCAAUAUUUGUCCAUUAAAACAUGGAGACAUUCAAAGAUAUGAAGAUACUUAUUGACCUAAGAAAUAUAUCAGCAAGAAGCUGAAUAUAUUAAAUGUAUAAACUCGUUUGAAUUACAAGGAGUAUCGUGGCACACACUGUAACAUAGCAGUGAAUGAGAGUGAGUGUAAGCUGAUGAUGGUGGAGGGAACCCAUGAAAGAGAGGGUGAAGAGGAAAGGUGUUUGAAUCUCCUUAUGGAAAUAGCAGGGUUUGGGACAGGGGAACUGCUCCAUGCACCUAAUGCAUCACAGGACAAGUCAGAGGUGAGGCAAUACACAGCCACUGUCAGGAAGAGGAAAACAUGACAGCGGAUCCAAAACUGGUGGCAAGCUGUGGUUAUCCCAGACUCCAGCUGUCCGUGUUUGUGGUAGGUGACCUGCAAGGAGAUCUCCCUGAGAUGGCUGCAUUUUUCUGUCAGAAGUGAGACACUGCUGCUCUCGGCUCACGCUGUGUUAGGAGCAGCGUGCAGCUCCCAGCAGAACCCCUGCUGAGUUGGCAGCUGGUGGCUGCUCAGGAGACUGGAGCGUGGCCUGGAGGGGACAUUGUCUGCCAAGGGCAUGGCGGGGACGUGCUGGGCUUUGGGAGGGCUGCCAAGCAGUGCUCGUGUGCAUCUCCUUGUCCUGCAGCCUGCACUGUGUGAUGGUGUGGUUGCGACCGAUCCCAUGGACAGCAGCAAGACUUCCAUCUGCAGCCAAAUGCCUUGGCUGGCUGCAGGAAGGACUUCCAAGCUGAAGGUGAGACGUUAACAGCACUUCUGAAAUGGUUACAGCUCCCACAUGUGAAGGGCAUUGACUCAGCUGUGUGUAGGGCAGCUUCCCUUCUUGCUGUAGCCAUUGAAACAGGUAUGAAUCAGCUGUGUGUGCACCAGGAAAGCAAAUAAGAAAGGUUUUCACAAAAAAGCUCUAAGAAUGUAAAACUGAUACCUGGAGGUGCAGGUAAGUGGCAUACUUUUUCCCUCCCCCGAUUUUGUAGCUUGCACUAUAUAUGCAUCAGAUUUAAAGGCAAGUAGUGUCUCUCUUUAUCAAACAGGCUUGAUAAAAGAACAAUCAUGUACAUUCAGUUAUAUCUCUGCUAAACGUAUCCUUUUUUAUUGCUUUCCAGUAGUUCAAAGCAUUAGCAUAAAACAAUCAAGGAGGUUGUUUUUCCUAAGAGAGAGAGUGCCUGUUUACAAACUCAUUUUAUUUUCACAAUACUCCAUUGUUAUUUAUUUCAGACAGAAAGCUGUCAGAUUAAUGCAUUCCCUCAUGCAGGACAGCUUGCUUUAUUGCCCGUUAUUAAGAUAUAACAUAUAUAACCUGACAAGCACUGCCCACGUCUGCAAUCUACCAGUGAAAGGCAAAUUAAGUAGAAAAUGGAGAUCUCCAAUAUUUCUUGGGGCUAAAGUGAUAUUAGUUUUUAACUCAUUUUGUAUUCAGAGGGGAUUCUGCCUGCUCACAACAUAUCUGACAGAGUAAACUGCCCAAAGAAGGCUUUUUUGAUUCGUAGAACAGCUACAUCUGAGAAACUGAUUUCAGAGUCACAGGAGUCAAUUCCCCUGGCAUAAAUGUGUGCCGACAAAGGAGGAAAAAAAAACCAAACACCCAACAAAUGAGUUGGAUGGUGCAAGAAACCAGUUGGAAAGCAACUCCUUCGGGAACAGUGGUGUAAGGUGAGUAACUGAGAUGCAUAAACCCAAUCCUAAAACAACCCAACAGAUAAUCCUUAUGGCCCCAAGGGUCCAAAUUCUAAACCCCAGUGCUCACAUUGUCCCAGUAAGGGCUCCCAGAUGGACGUGGGCACCAGACACAGCUGGUAACACCUUAGCUAAGUUGCUCCCUUUUCUGCGGUGCAUGCAUUCGGGCUACUGGCAAGACGCUUGUAUUCCUUCUCCUUUUCACAACAAUUUGUUGUCCAGGAUAUCCCACGUGGUCCCACUGACAGCAUCCAACUGACAGUUUCCACAGAACUGCUUGAAAGUCUCCACUGAGCCUCAACAUUGCACUGGGACUAUUAGUAAGCUUGGUGCAAGGUCACAACACUGCAAACCUCACUUUCAUAUAAGUGAUGUUUUUCAAGUUUUUCAUUAUUGCUUAAUCUGAUUGUUUUGAUUUGUUUUCUUUUCCCCCCAGGACUGAAUUCCUGAACUUGUUGAGGGACAGAAACUGCUCUGGAGAAGUCAACAAGAGCGCGUGCGGUGCGGCAGACAAGAAGAUAAUUUUGGGCUGCAUAUUUGGAAGCACCACAUCACAAGCAAAUGAAAAUGCAUCAUCACAACACCGAAUUAAGAGUGAAGGAAAACACUGUCGGUAAGAUGCUGGAUAGACUGAAGAUAUUCAAGGUUGACGGACCAGAGCCUCUUGCAUCCAUACCUGUGACAGAUGAAAAAGAAAGGGUCCUGUUUUAAACACCAGGAGCUGCAUUCAGUCAAAAGGCUCAAGCAAGAGCAACAUCGGCUUCUCUUCUGGUCUUACAUCCUGUGCACACACCUGGCAGAGUUCUGCAAACUUGACAAGCAGGAUCCUCACCCUGAAUCCAUCUAAAUGACAGUGGCCUCUCAGUACCUUCCAGCUCUGUGCUACGCGCUGCCACCCUCGGGCCACGCUCCCUAAUGCCAUGCUGUGCUGAAAAAAACCUCUGAGGGACACAACCAUCUGGCUGCCUUCCACAACGCCUGAGCUGCGGCUGCUCUGCUGCUUUCAAUGUCAUUUGUUGGAUAUUCUGCUUGACAAACCAGCUUCCUGUUAACUGCAGUGCCCUUGCUUCUGGGGAUAAAAAAUGACACCCCUAAAUCCUUUACUUGGGUAAAAUUAACCAGCAUUAUCAAAAUCCAGCUUAUUGGUAUGUUUUUAGUAGAGAAACCUGAGAAUGUUGUGAGAGACAAAGCAUGCAAUUUGGAACUGUACACUGGAUUCCUCUUGUUUGGCUACCUCCUCUGAAACCAGGUAAGCUUUCAGCAUUUAUUUCUUGCCACUACAUCCCAGAACAAUGCAUAGUCACAUCUUGACAUAAAUUUUAUACAGUUAAGUGUCACAUGAGGUCCAGCUGUACAUUGAUCAAGAACAUCCUCAGCAAUUCUCAUAAGCAUAAAUGAUGUAUUUAAAUACUUGUUUGUUUGUGCAUUGAUCAGCUCUGGAAUAGAUGUAGCAAUGUAACUUCUAGGAAGGGAGGGAGCAAGUCCCACAGAACUAAGAAGAGAAAGUUUUAAGAAUAUCAAUUUCAUGCCUGGUACUAAAAAAAAUCUACUUAGCCAGCCAUAGAAUGCAUCAGUGUACCAUUAAUGGUGAAAGGACUAUGGUUUGUGAGACACAGUUUGAAUGUGAUUUUCAGCUACAAAGAUGAGGCAGUUAUGAAAUAUGCAAGGCAGUAAGUUUACAGGAUGCAAACAGAUGAGGUAAGGAAGGGAAUGUCACUUUCAGAUUCUCCUAUAGUUCAUUUUUGCUUACCUUAUACCCAGUCACCUCAGACUCGUUCUCCAUGGCUCUUACUUCUUCCCAGUUGAGGAUUACUCUGGAGUCAGUAACGUUCCACACAACGUUUCCUGGUGGCUGACUGGGCGCUUUGAAUACAUAAUCAAAGCAUGACUUUAAUUUAAUUGCCAUUAGUGAUUUAUUCUACAGUAGGAAAUAACAGUUCAGGUAAUUGAUUGUCAUUACGUGUCGGAUGUAAAAGCAAGUCAAAUACAGCCUCGUCAUUUGUACACUUUAUGGUUCAGAGACUAAAUUGGAAAAACAGAAGGAAAGAAAAAGAGAAUAGCAAAUAGAUGUUAUUUCUGAAGUUGCAUUAUCUGUUGAUGGUGUUUCAUUAAAUGCAGUCAAACAAAAGCGUAUUUCUUCGGACACGGGUGAUCAAUUAGAACAUACUCUAAUGAAACCAAUGAUGAUAAGACAGUUCCUAUUUGUAGUAUGUUUUCAAGAAUAAGUAAGUAAAUACUCCACAAUAAACAAAUUUGGUUUUAGUGAAUAUUCAAACCAAUGUGCUGUGCUGAUAUACUUUAACGUGGCUGAAAUAUAAAAAUAGGUGAGAAGAUUUUUUGUUCUUCUGUUAACUUGAGGCAUGAUUUUGAAAUGCAAUCGGUACGGUUUCAGUAGUUGCAGUUGGAACAAUUAAUAGGCUUUAGCUAAGCAACUCUAUUGGUUUUUGGGGAUGUUUUUGUGGUGGUGUUCGUUAACAACCUGAGAGUUACUUUCAAAGGGAGUGGUACGCUUCUGGCUGUACACAUCAAUGGAAAGGUAAAGUACAAACCUGUUCAGAUGCUUCAAGUUGACUUCCCAGAAAGUGGAUGAUGCAGUGGACCGUUUAGCUAUUAAAAUAUUUCUAAAUGUGUUAAGGAAAACAAUUUACUGUUGCUGGCACCUAGUGGAGGCUACUGCUGCUUAGAUGGACUGCUCCAAGCUUUGAUGCUGAAGGUAUGCAGUAUUAACAACUAACAGUGCUUUAACAGCUUUGUGCCUGCACUCAUCCUUGUGGCUUUUUUUCCCCCUUCCCUUUAUUUUUAAGCUCAUUUGCAUAGGUAGCUCCAUUAGCAGUCAGAUCAUAAAGCACCUGACUAUAGAGCAUAGCACUGUGUGGACACAAAAUGUGAGGCCAAGAUAUAAAAUGACUGAAGUCAAACAACUAUUCAAAGAUCUAUUCUUUUGCAGUAUUUGUCUUGUUCUAUAUACUAAAUAGGAUUCAACCUGAUGCACUAAUAGCUAAUUUCUGUAAAUGUAAGAGGAGACUGUUCUUCUCCUGAGAAUUGACUAUUACAGCAGAUAUAGAUAGUUUACACACUCAGAUAUUAAAGCUGAAUUUGAGAGAAAUGUGUCACUCUCUUAAAUCCAAAACAAAAUAUGUCAUCUAAAAAGAUGAAGAAUAAUUAUUAUAGAAACUGUAAGCCUCUAUCACCUGACUUACAGAACUGAGUCAAAAGGCUCUAUUUGGCUUCAGCUACCCAAAUCUCCAAUAAUCUUCAAAUUUGUAGUAGAUAAUACCAAACCAUUAUUUCCAGUGCAAAGUGUGCAAAUAGACUUCUCUAGGACUCAUUAGAUGCUUGAAGUUAGUUACACACUAACAUUUCUCUUAAUUACAGCUGAUAGAACAGUUUGUUGUAAGACCUCCUGAAUAUUAAAUAACAACAUCUCACCUUGUAAACUCAGGUGAAACCUCCAAAAUUAACUACAAUUUUAUGCAACAAAAUAUUUAAAACUAGUUUUGAAAACUUCUUGUGUCAGAUACAAGCAGUAGACUAUGACGUGCUUCACAGUAACUGUAUGUAUAAGGUAUUUAAACCCCAGUAAAUAUAAAUUAAUCUGAGUUGAUUCAGUGCUCAGUGCUAGUGAGUGAUGCUUGUUUCUGCAUAUGAAGUUAUUGUGAAAUUAUAGUUUCAUAAUAUUGAUGAUACAGCUCCUUUCAGCAGAAGGACAUUUAUGACCUUUCAUACAGAUUUAAUUGUGCAUUCUCAUGAAUCUGGAAGAAAUACUUCAAAACUGAUUACCCUGAUUUUGAGUUGUAUUACAAAGCAAGAGCACAUUAAAUAUAUUUUUCACUUGUAGAAAAAUUAGUGCAGUCUUUGACAAUCUGUUCUCCAGCUUAAUUUCUCCUUUCUAAUAGGAAUGGGGCCUCUUGUGUAACUCGAUUAAGGGAGAACAAUGGAUGUGGAUGAUUAUUUUGCAUGAAUUGUGUGAGGAUCAUUCAAAUGCCAUGUCCCAGAGAACUUAAGGAUGUUAUAAAACCCUGAGAUAUUCAAUAAGUCACUGUUUUUCUUUCCAACUAACAGAAUUCUUUUUUACAUUCCUUAAGUCACUAAAAGAAUAAUAAAGUUUUUAUGCAGAAAUAAUCUUACCUCAGCUCCAUCGGUAUGGUUGAGUUUUACAUACUCAUUGUGCUAAAGUAGCAGAGGGUAAAAACUUAAGGAUCUGUGCUUGACUGAGUUGCUCAGCUCUUCUAUUCUGUAUGAAGAUUUAGGUCACUUAUGUGCAUCGUGAUUCCCAUUAAUGCGUCUAUUCUUCAUCUGCCUGCAAAUGCUAACACACCAUUAUGUCUCUCCCCACUUCAGAUCUGUGAUACUUACGUGUCUUCUUGGUGGUAGCAUUCACUGUGGCACUGAAGGGACCUGCUCCAGCACUGUUGUAGGCACGGACAGCUGUGUAGUAUGCUAAGUUGCUCUUCAAACCUGUUAUUCUUAUUGAUGUUUCAUUCCCUGCAGCUUUGACUCUGUUUGAAGAUUCUUCUUUUCCUCCAUUAUUCCAGUACCUAACCUAGUAGACAGAAAACAAAGCUACUUAAAAUGUUGGAUAAACGUUCAAUUCCAUGCAAUGGCAUUGGUUUGACUCCUUCAGGUGCAUAUCUGUCAGCUGAAAAAGGUAGAAACAUAUUAAAGUUUCCAAAAUAUGCACACUAUUUCAACAGAAUCACUCAUGCAUCUGCCUUUCAUGCUUUCUGCCCUUUUGACUGCAGAAAAAGCAAAACUGAAAUAUUAGAUGUUGCUCGAAUUAAAAAAUUACAACCAGAGGAAAAUCACUGCUUCAUCUACAAAGUAAACAAGGCUCAGAAAAUUGUAGCUCACAAAAUAGUUGCAAUUCUGAAAAAAUGGCAGUUUGAUAAUAUAGUUAAACACAUGACUCAUCACAGGAAGCAAAACCAUUUUAUUCGUGGUUCAAUUUCAAAGAUAAACAGAAGAAAACAUUCAAUUUCAGGGUGAAGAUGGUACAGAGAAAAAGCCCAGAUGGGUGGUAACCUUCUAUCAACUAGGUAUUACUAGAGGCUAAUACUCUAUACUAACAGCUGGUUGCUUUGAUUUUCAUAAAGCAAACAACAACCGCCCCCAGAAUGCUAUAUCUUCCUUUUUUAAACAGAAUCUUGACUUCUGAAUAGUGUCAGAGCUGGAAAACUACUGGGGAGAAGGCUCGGGCUGGCCAAACGUCCUCCCCAGAGCCUGUCCUGCACUGCACAACACUCAGUGUUGGCUCAGUCUAGAAGAAAGGUCAGGAUCGAGGCUGUCUGGCAUGAGCUAUGCAUGAGAAGGCAUUCUGGAUCGUGGCCCUUUAGAACAGGAGGAGCAUUUUAAAUGACAUUACCUCAUAACCCAGUAGCCUUCCACUACUCAUCUUCCAGGGAAUGGCUUUCCAGGAGACUUCGAUGACAGAGGAGGACAGGCUUGUCACGGACACACCAGAGGGGGCUACGACACCAACUUUGACUUCAUAUGGUGAAAACGGCAGGAUGCUUUCGUUCCUGAAGACGUAUCUGGGUGUGUCAGGAGAGGUGACUACAGUCUGUAUCCAUGUUGUGGUGCCAAAGGGGCGAAAAGCGACGACAUAUCCAAACCCUUCUCCAUUCUGUAACUCCUCGGGGAUGGGCUGUGAGAAAAGCAAUCAGUGACUGAAGCCUGUGAUGUUACGUACUGCACUGGAAAAGCUUUGAAGGAGCAAAGCAUCACUGUGAAUGUAUUGCAUGCAGCUGAAACUUGUUCUGGUCUGCAUUUGGGAUCACUGCAUCAACAAAUAAACUCUGGUACAGUAGAGUGAAAUGCUUUCAUUUGAAACUAUCUGCACAUCAAAAACAGAGCAACUCCCACAUACAUUUCUUGCUCUCCAGUAAGUACACUGCCUUAAGACACUUCAGUAAACAUAUUUUUUCAAUUUCUGGUCACAAUUCAUAGUACAUAAAUAAUAUCAGAGAAUUCAGUACUACCUCCUGUACAGUGUCUGCACCUUCCCCGGAUGUGAUUUGGUUAAGUAACAACAUAGAGUUGCUACUAUCAGUAUGAAAUAGCAUGGUAACAUUUUUUUAACUCAUUAAAAAUAGGAUACAUAAUUUAAAGUAGUAUUUUGAUCCUUUAGCUCUUGCAUCCAGAAUUAAUGGUAGGAAAGUACAAACUGGCAAGUUGCACUGACAUGUGUUUGAGAGCAAAAGUAACCUUAGACAAGCUAACUGAAUUUCUUACUGAUUGCAGUCUAACAGUAGCAAGUGGAACAGGGAAGGCAAAUGUGCAUAGCUCACAUUACAGAAUGUUACCGAGCACAUAUACACCCUAGAUAAGAAGCUGCUGCAGCCAGGAAAAUUCAUCUUUAAAGAAGCGUUUCAAUGAAAACAACCAUUCUCUGAAGAAAAUUGCUUGCCAGAAAACUUACAUCCCAUGUUAUGACCAGUUCAGACCUGCUGCCGCCUCCCCCACUGACUUCAGCUGGGGGAAUUUCAGGAACUGUGAAAAAAAAAACAUACAGCUGUCUACGCCGUGUAAACAGAUGAGAUGGUAUCACAAGUUAACCUCAUUCUCUGGAGCUAACUCUCUCGUUUUCUUAUUUCUUUUGCAAAUUGAGAUGAGUGCUUUAGAACCUGCGUGGGGCAGACACGCAUUUGAGUAUUUGCAGAACCUCACAAAUGGAACCCUGUAUGCUCUGCUUUAAAUGUUUAUGAGCAUCUAAAAAUCAGUGGCAUGCUUCAAGUUUUCAACAGGGCUAACUUACUUACACAGGCGUGCUGGGCAACAGCCUUAUCCUAAGUAACACCUGGGGUUUCAAUCAGUGUGUUCUGAGCUACAUGCUUGCACCAUGGAAGAUGUACACUGACCAAACGCCAGGAAGAGAAAGUUGUCAAAAUUCACCUCUUCCCCAUCCAUUUACAGCUUCAGACUGCGCAGCACUGACUGAACAGAGAGUUUGCCAUGCUAAAAAUAGCUGAAAUAUAUAUAGCUGAAAUAUAUUUGAAUAUAAUAUGUAGAUAUAAAGUGUCCUAAAGCUGAACACAAAUACUCACUAACAAACUAGUUACAGACUUUUACAUUUGAUGCAAAUUCCAAGCUUAAUUGAAUUGAGCCAAAUAAAUGAUUUAACUUUUAUUUUUUUUUAUAAAUUCUAGAUGCUUGAAUUAAAGACGAAUAGAAAAACCCACUAACCUGCCUCUUCAGUUCUUACUUUUUCUGAGGGUAAACUAGGUUCUCCACCUCCUAUUUUGUUACUGGCAACUACACGAAAUUCGUAUUCGACCCAAGGAUUUAAAUCCACCACUGUGGUUGUAAACGUAUUUCCAUCAAUCACGUCUGGAACUAUUAAUUAAAAAAAAAAGAGAAUUAAGAACCUGCUGUAUCCUGGCCAAGCAUAUUUCAAGUGAAGCUGUAACAAGAAAUGCAUUUUACCUGUGGUAACUCGCUGCCAGCCAACCGAGAAAGGUGUUCUUGCUUGUAUGGUGUAAGCAGUCACUGGGCUGUGAUUAUCUGUGCCUUCUUGCCAGGAGAUCUGAGCUGUGGUAUCGGUUAUUUCAUCCACUCUCACGUGUUCGGGGGGCCCAGGUGAGCCUAGGAAAAGAUUGAAAAAUAGGUGGUGUUUAGUAAAGCCAGUGCCCUGGAAAUCACUAAUACUGCAGUAAGGAUUCCCAUUCUAUUAAGUGCUGUGGGAAGAAGAAAACAUUUGGAUUAGGAUAAAUAUUUAUUAACAUUUAUUAUACUUGCAUCUGAUAAGGUAAUUCUGAAAUAGUAACCCUGAACUAUUACGCAGGUGACAGGUUUUGUUUUAGUUCACUGACCUUUGUUCAGCAUGAUUCCUCUUUCCAUUCCACAUUAUCUUGUAUUUUGGUCCUUGAUGUCCUCUUUUAAUCUACUAAAGUAUCUCUGCAGUUUGCCUAUUUGUUAUCUAGAGCUAUUUUAGUGUAUGAAGUACUGUAGCAAUUCUUCAUCAGAACAUCUGAUCAGCACCGUGAGCAACAAUUCAGUCAAGCAAACGUCCUCCUGCUGCAUUCUGGAAAAAUCCUGAUUCUGGGCAGCCAAAAAAUGCUCUUUCUGUCUUAUCUGCACCAACAAACUGGUGAAAUAACUAACAGUACAAAUGCCAUUAUAAAAUACCUGGUAUAUUUUGAAACACAUUGAAUAAAUCUUGAUUGCAUCAUGUUGGUUUCUGGAUUACUGCUUUUCUUUUGCAAUAAAUGUAGCUGCAUCAUCAACAAUGAAAGCUAUAGUUCACGCUUAGCUCUGCAAUCUCCUGCUCUUGAAAAAAAAUAAAUAAAUAACCCUGCAUUAUAUAAUUUCAAUUCCUGUGUGUCUCCAGGACAAAGCCCUUCAUACACUUUGGCAGCAGACGCCCAUUUCCCAGGAAGGAUGCUGGACCAUGGAGUCAUCAUUUAGCAGACACAGCAACAGUAUCACAGCUGCCAGUACUAAACUGCGCUCAUCAGUGGCUUGAAGGACAGUCAUAAGAAACGAUAUUAUGUCAUCAUUUAUAGCAUUCUUCAGUUAGUAAUUCUUUUCUGGGAAGAAGCAAGUUUCAUCCAAAACUGAGCCUAACUUCAAUGCAGAAUCACAUAAGUCAUAGAUGAACAGGUUUUGUAAUCUACACCAUCAGCUGUUUCUGCAAUCUACAGCACACAACAGUAAGAAAACAAUUCAUGGUAACUGAAGCUGAAAUUUACCUCGUACUAUAAGGUCGGCUGCAGAUGCCACACUGUCUACUUCUGUCUUCACCAUACAAACGUAUUUUCCACUGUGUUUCAGCUGGAUGUUCCUAAUCAUCAAAUCUCCUGAUGCACUCUGUCAAAAUACAAAGUUAUUUAAUUAAUUAGCAUAUAAUUUAAUAUUCAGACCACGUUUUAGAAGUGGAGGAAAUAUCACCCCAAACAUGUAAGUACAAGAUAAACUAGACAGAUAAACUACAGGGGCAGCACAGCAGGUUAUUAGCCAGCAGUUGCUCCAUGCUACAUGGCUGUAAGCACUCUCCUAGCAGACAGGAGUUAAUGCCCCUCCUUAUAUGAGAAGCAAGCUGCAGCACAGGUGCCCAACACUGGGAACACACCUGCAGACAGCUGUUAGGAACCAGGAGGAAAGUCACCACCCUGUGCCUCCAAGCCACAAGAAAGAUGUGAUUUCUAUAGCUAUCACUCAAUCUGACUUCUAGACAGAAUUCACAAGUCUAAUUAUCAAAGACAUUCAAAGAGUUAAAAAAAGGUAACUAACAAAGCUGAACCUGGUCCGUUCUGAAGGCUUAAAGAUGAAAUGCAGAAAGGUACAGUACGAGUCCUGGGUCAGUGUGCUGCUGAGCCCCUCUCACCGAGCACCUCCUAUCCCUGGCAGUUUGUCUGGGAUUUCCUUCUGCCAAGUUGCUUUGCAUUGUGAGCACACCUGGAUUUAAGUGUAAUGCCUCUGCAUCUCUUUGGCUGAUUGCCCUGAUUUUAAGGUCCUACUUCUAUUCUUUCUUUUUUCAUUGUGCAUUCAAACGUCAGUCAUUUCUUUUCCUCUGUCCUCUCUCAUAUUACACCACCUGGUUGAUAAGAAUCAAAGAAAGCAUGCAAAGAGCUUGAGUGAGUGAUAGCAGUAACUUUGCAUUGUGUUACAGACUCUGUAUUAUUUGUUUUCUACAUUACUGAAAUAGAGCACUCAAUCCUAAACUUCUGGUAGUCAGUCUGCUUCAAAACCUCCUCACGUGCCAACUGAACUGCCUCAGUCCUGCUCACAUCAAAGCUUCCAGGUGAAAAAUCUGUCAGAUUCCAUUUUUUCCCUUUUUUCUAAUUUUGUGGAGCAGCAGUUUCAGUUGAGCACAGAACCAUAAUUGCAGGCAUUCUCAGCUCUCUGACCACAACAGAUUCUUGAGAACAGUGAUGUGGGAGAAAGGGAAGACAUGACUGCUGUGGUCUCCAGCAAAAGAGUCAACAAUCUUUCCAACCCUUUGUCUUUAGCCAUUAAUUAUUUCUUAUGCUCACACUAAUUGCUUCUGCUUGGAUCCUUAUAUUUCAAGAAUAAUUUCUUUUCAUGGAGACUGCCAUUAUCUCAGAUAAAUCUCUAACUAGAUACAAAUCAGCUGUGCCUCUUCGUCACAAGCAUUUGAGUCUCAUUCACUGAUGUCAACGUCUGCAGUUGAUGUGUAGGAUGAACAUUAGAACGUCUCACACAGAAGCUGAAAAAGCUUUGCCUGCUUCCCCUUCCCUUCCAAGUGUGAUAAUAUAAAUACAAUGCCAAGUCUUCUUCAGAAACAAAGAUGUAAACAUUUAGAGGACAGAGCAGCACUGGUUGCCUCCAGUACCCUAAAAGUUAAGCUGAAGGCAAUCUCAAAUCCAUCUAACUUGAUUGGAAGUGGAUAUUCAGGAAAUGAUCAGGAACAACAACGGAUACGCACAAAGCAAAUCAUGUUCUACAUGAACUAAUUGUAGCAAACUAGAUUUAAACCAUCUAGGCAGAGGGACUAUCAAAUAAAAUAAUCCUACUGAAACAUAACACUGAAAUAUUAACACCGCAUUUCAACUAUUUGCGGAUGCUUUGGAGGAGCAUCCUGAAGUAUUGAGGGGAAGAUGUGCAGCAGCAAAAAGCUCCAAGGCACUCAGCUCCCAUGGCUCUGCAGACCAAAAGCAGUGCCCACAUUCUUGCCUAGCCAGAUUAAGUCGUUGUCAGUGUGGACAAGUCCAGGUGGCAGUAAGGUCACCUUCCUUUCUCAAUGCUACACAGAAUAGCAAUAAGCAGAAGUGCACGCAUAGUACGAACAUCUGCUGGAACUGCUUUUGCUUUUCCUGACUGCAUUACAAUUUCAGCCAUUGCUGGGCUGUAUGAAUACGCAGUUUAGAAGAACUCUGCUUGUUUUGCCUAUAGCCUUUGUAUAAAUCAUUUAUCUAGCAGAAAAGAGCAGUACAGCAGUGAUAUAUCCUAUGUUUUUCAAACCAUCUGGAAGACCAGGUCACGGUGCCAUAACAUUCCCACUAACCACUACAUGUCAGGGAUCUCAGGCACACAUGGCAGGGACUGCCAAGAUAUCAUUACACAGAUCUCCAUCCACUGAAAAAUUAUUUUCCUUUUGCCAUGUUUAUCAACAAAGCUGAAGUUAUGCACAGAUAUUUCCAUUUAACAAAUACACACUGGAAGGCUUCUUUACUUACUGGGAUGAAAUUAUUCCAUCAACAUUAGUGGGAUCCAGACAAGCCCACAUAAUAGUUCUCUCUAUCUCCCAGUUACCCAUGGAGUUUUUCCACUGAGGAGGUUCAAUCCCCUUUUUUAAUCAGGUAAGACUUAAAAAAAAGUCACCUAAACCUCAGUAUUCCGUAACUACCCAUAAUCCUAUGCCAUACAACGAACUCCCAGGCUUUUAUGGAGAAAAUGUUCUACAGUCAGAAGUCUCAGUUACUCAAUACUCUGAAAUUUCCUUCACAACUGGUUGAGAAGUUUUCAUGAAAUCCUAUUUUUUUUUAAGCUUUUUGUUUUUUUAUUUUUUCUUCUCUCCACGUGGGGAAAAGUUCAGUAUGGCCUCCCUCUGUCACCAGGGGAGGCUUAAAGAGAGAAGUGAGGGAAACACCAGAGGUAGAAGAGCAGGAAAAAUAAGAUGGAUUAUAAUUUUUGUUAGCUUUUAGGCUGAAGCUCUCAAAAUCUGAAACAAGUUCCUCAAUCUGUCAUUGCUAUGUUUCAUGUGAUCCAAGGAAAAUCACGUAGCGCCAGAUGCAGAGACAGGUAGGCACUUAUAAAACUUCAGGUUUAAAAUACGAGAUAUCUGGAUACCAGGUUAUGUACUGCAAGCUAGAUCCAUGAAUGACUUCUCUGCAACAAAGAACACCACAUUCCAUAUGCCCAAAAGAGAAGAAAAAACCUUUACAGUGUUGGAAAGAGUAAGCAAGCCUGUCUGUGCUGCAUCUAUACAUCUACAAGAGAAGAGAUGUUCACAACUUACCCCUCCAACCUUCUCAAAAUGAGAGGCAUCUUUUUUGAAGUCAGUGAGCG